Molecule: unclassified non-coding RNA, 265 nt
Filed under: Hevea brasiliensis (rubber tree)
Lineage: Eukaryota; Viridiplantae; Streptophyta; Magnoliopsida; Malpighiales; Euphorbiaceae
Source: RNAcentral
AUGUACCAACAUAUCUGACAAAUGAUCCACCCCUCGAUAUUUGAUAGGCUGUGGCUUAGGUUGCUGAGAAUAGCAGUUAUGUGCAGUCAAUCUGAUUUUGGAUGGAUCGUCCAAUCCAAUUCGUUGUGCCACCUUCUCAACGACCUCAUCAUAAGUAUGAACUUUCAACAGCUCUAAGCAAAAGUCAUCCUCCUUGGGUUUCUCUAGAGUUCGAAAAUGAACAACCUGACGAUUAUGUACAUACUCCAAAAAGGAAGGAACAUCG